CUGAUGCUAUGAUGCCCAGUUCUGUCUGUGUGUAGUCUGGUGCUGUGAGGUUUCUAGGCUUCACAGACAACAGUCUGGUGCUGUGAGGUUUCUAGGCUUCACAGACAACAGUCUGGUUACUAGGCUUCACAGACAACAGUCUGGUUACUAGGCUUCACAGACGACAGUCUGGUUACUAGGUUUCACAGACAACAGUCUGGUGCUGUGAGGUUUCUAGGCUUCACAGACAACAGUCUGGUUACUAGGCUUCACAGACAACAGUCUGGUGCUGUGAGGUUUCUAGGCUUCACAGACAACAGUCUGGUGCUGUGAGGUUUCUAGGCUUCACAGACAACAGUCUGGUGCUGUGAGGUUACUAGGCUUCACAGACAACAGUCUGGUUACUAGGCUUCACAGACAACAGUCUGGUUACUAGGCUUCACAGACAACAGUCUGGUGCUGUGAGGUUACUAGGCUUCACAGACAACAGUCUGGUUACUAGGCUUCACAGACAACAGUCUGGUUACUAGGCUUCACAGACAACAGUCUGGUUACUAGGCUUCACAGACAACAGUCUGGUGCUGUGAGGUUACUAGGCUUCACAGACAACAGUCUGGUGCUGUGAGGUUACUAGGCUUCACAGAUAAGUCUGGUUACUAGGCUUCACAGACAACAGUCUGGUGCUGUGAGGUUACUAGGCUUCACAGACAACAGUCUGGUUACUAGGCUUCACAGACAACAGUCUGGUUACUAGGCUUCACAGACAACAGUCUGGUUACUAGGCUUCACAGACAACAGUCUGGUUACUAGACUUCACAGACAACAGUCUGGUGCUGUGAGGUUACUAGGCUUCACAGACAACAGUCUGGUUACUAGGCUUCACAGACAACAGUCUGGUUACUAGGCUUCACAGACAACAGUCUGGUUACUAGGCUUCACAGACAACAGUCUGGUUACUAGGCUUCACAGACAACAGUCUGGUUACUAGGCUUCACAGACAACAUUAUGACACUCCUUCCUGUCUGAAAGCGUCCCCAUGUUCAGAAUUAUAUUUGUAUUAUUCUCA
Long non-coding RNA from Oncorhynchus keta (chum salmon), 1045 nucleotides. RefSeq lists it as uncharacterized. The transcript is spliced from 4 exons. NCBI's taxonomy places the organism in Eukaryota, Metazoa, Chordata, Actinopteri, Salmoniformes, Salmonidae. The record is from RefSeq and is a predicted model, not a curated record.